Triticum urartu is the source of this 2399-nucleotide non-coding RNA. The record is from RefSeq and is a predicted model, not a curated record. Lineage: Eukaryota; Viridiplantae; Streptophyta; Magnoliopsida; Poales; Poaceae.
CUUGUUGGACCUUGCUUGGGCCCCCGGCGUCUUCUUCUUAGGCCUGUUGGGAGUAUCAUCAUCCCUGGCUUCCCUCAAAAUCUGCGAAAUCUCUACUUCUAAUAAAGUAGUUGAUAGUCUCGCUUCCAGGAUUUUAUUAGUCCCAUCUUUUCUGAUUUUUUUAUACCUCCUUCCAUCUCUGAUUUAUCCAUCAUGAACCAAAAAAACCUUCUCCUGAGGCCCCAACCCGCACCCGCCCACGUAUAAAAAAUAAACUUAUAAAAAUUAACCAACGAAAAAAGACCUACCAAAGUUAACCAGCCAAAGAAACCUAAACCUAUCGCCCGCAUGUACGAGCGACCUCUCAUGCCCUCGAGCGAGGUCUCCCUUUGCCGCCGCGCUUCACUCACCGCCCUCCAUCCGCGCUUCACUCGCCGCCCUCCAUCCACGAAUCGUACGCACGAACGAGCAAAGCCUGCGUGCCCUCGAGCGAGAGCCACCCUCGCACAUCAAGCCGCCGCCGAUCCAUCCCUUCGCCGCCGCCCUCGCCCAUCAAGCCGCCGCCGAUCCCUGGCUACUUCGAUGGGAGCCAUCGAUCUUCUUCAGGAGACGGCGCCGAUCCCGUUGAGGAGCCGCCGCCGACCACGUCCAGGAUCCGACACCGAUCCCCUUCAGGAGCCGACGCCGAUCCCCUGAGCCCCUGGCGCUGGCCAGGCUCCAGAUCGAUGGACACGCCUGCUCGCCGCUCCUCGGGGCCAGCCCCUCCCGCCGCGCCGGAUCACGCAUCGCCUUGGGGACCCCUCGGGGAUGCCGCCCCACACCCAUCUGAUGCCAGCACCCCUCCCGCCAUGCUGCCCUUCUGCUCCGCCGCGCCCACCCCAUGCUCCCCCCUCUGCCCAGUGACCGCCGGCGCGCGGGCGCUGCGGAGGGUCGAGGCCGGCGCGCUCAGGUCCUUCCCCGCCGACCCGCUCGUCACGCAGGCGGUGCCCGACCGCCCGCUCUUCUCCGACUCCGCCAUCUUCUCCCCUACGCCGGCGCGCCCGACGACAUCGUGCCGAGGUUGCCUCGGCCGCCGAGCUGCCCGACCCUCUCUGGCGCGCCGGGGUCGACCCGCCGCUGAUGCCCGUCUCCGCCGUUGACCUGGCCGCGGACGCUGUGGUCGGUGCGGUCACCGACGAUGCCGCGCAGCAGGCCUGAUGGACGCGGAGAUGCCCACCACGUUCCCGGCCGACGCGACCGGCGUCGAGGAGUCCGUGGCCAGGUUCAUCGACAAGCUCAGCAAGCAGAUAUUCCAGGCGGAGGACGCUCUCACCGAAGGCUACGACAAGCUCAGGCUGUCGGCGUACGACGCUCUCGGGGCCUACAGGAAGGCGAUAAGGGGAGUCGCUGGUAGCCUCACGUCCUUGGUGGCAGCCACCGAGAAGCAGGCCGCUGGUGGGGUCCCGGACGUUUCCGGUGCAUUUCAGGAUAAGGUGGCCGGAGCUGGUGCCGUGGCGACUGAUGUUCAAUUGUUGUAGCAGAGGAUUCACUCACUGGGCAGUGCAACCACGUCGUCCCUCGUAUACUACUAUGGCUCGGCCAAGUCGUCGUUGCCACCAAAUGUUAAAGAUUUGCUGAACUCAUCCGAGGAGAAAGCUAACAUAGUAUUGCCACCAAUUGGAAGUGCCCUCCAACAGGUAUACAUUAUCAUAGAAGGCAUGAAAUUUUGGCUGAUUGGCUGCAUGUCGCUUCGGAUUUGGUGCAUGUGUGUGUGCGCGUGCGUGUGAUGUGCCGCUGACCGCUGUUGUGUGUGCUUGUGGCGAUGCUGCCUGUGAGUGUGAUUUUUGCCGCUAUCCUGCGUGAUUCUUGGUGCCUCGAGGAUGAGAGGAAGCCACCUAGAAAAUGGCCAGAAGGAAGCACCAUAUGUGCAGGUGUGCUCAUGUGUGUUAGAAGGACAAGGACUCGGCGGAUGAUUCCUCCUUGACUUUCUACCAGCUGCGCCCUGACUGCGUUCACAGCGUCCCCACGCCGUGUUCAAGACCAAGUUCUAACCCACAUAUCCAAUCUCCCUCCAUGGAUCUCGCCUCUCAUUGACCAAGAGCAACAAUUCAACUCAAUUUGAGAUUUACAAAAGAGAUGGACCUAGAGCAAACAACCUGCGAGGCUUGGUUCGUGUCCAUCGACAACGUUGCUGCCGUAUGUCAAGUGUGCUACAUCUGGUCGCUCAAGGCCAAGGAGGUGAUGAAAGGCUUCUUGAUAAGUUUUUAGCUGUCUGAUUCAAAUCCAUAUAGCUUGCGAGAUGAUGGCAUAGUAUUAUCUGACAUUUUAUCUGUAUUUGAUUAAAUGUCUUUCCCUUUAAGAAAUAUAGUGCAAUGGAAUUGAAUUUUAGAAACAACCGUUGGUUACUAUUAUUUGUGAAUUCUAUUUAACGCUUCACGAUU